Molecule: non-coding RNA, 7297 nt
Organism: Xyrichtys novacula (pearly razorfish)
Lineage: Eukaryota; Metazoa; Chordata; Actinopteri; Labriformes; Labridae
Source: the annotation of a GenBank genome assembly
GGUUGCGACAUGGGCAGAAUAUUGCCUCAGCAUCUUGUCCAGCAAAUCAACCCCUACUUUCGUACUGUUGCAAUAAUGGAUCGUCUCUGGCCUCUUCUUUGCAUGAUCACUGAUCUCCACUGACGUGUGCAUGGUGCUGAGGAUGCACACAUUCUUCUUUUCCUUUCCCUGGUAAAUCGUCAAUGUUGCACUCACUCUGCAUAACUCUGGUGCCAUACAGGGCCGCUUUCAGGAGUGAAGAAGGAGGCAGUGAUCUUUUAUUUUUAUUUAAGGCUGGUGUUUUUUGCCAGGAGUUUAUGGGCGAGAGGGAGGGAAGUAAGAAAGAUGUCUGUGGUCACAUUUCUCCCUUUCCCCAAAAAAGGCUCAAUCAGUUUCAAAACAACACUCUCUCCUAGGCUCUGUGUUGUUCAUCUAUUACACUAUUAAGUGUUUGCCACCAGAGUAUCAUUCAAGUCUCAAGUCUCAUUUCUUGUUGGCAAUUUACAAAACUGAUGAUAGGUGUGUCGAUGGUGUUGGAUACUGGAAGGAUGCCUAGCCCAUGGUUCUGUUACACUUUGUCAGAAAGCGUGACAAAGUGUAACAGAAGCGUAACAAAGUUUGGUCUGAGACCGUUCAAGUAUAUAUAGUCGUCCACAUUUCUAAACAUACUGCUGACAUUUAGUUGACCCUAGGAAAAAUCCAUGUACGGCAAGAACAAAGAACAACAUAUUUUUAGGAGCUUCAGGUAAAUAUAUGGAGGGUCAAUAGAAGGAAAUACCAUGACAGAACAUAUUUUGGGGACCUGUGUGAUGUAAAACAUGAGUACAAGGUCCUUGUUGAGGAUAGUUGUCCGAGGCCCAUGGCUCCAGCAAUCUAACACUGAAGUAUCUGAGGUAUUUGAGUGACACAGUUCCACCACUCUAAAGGCUGACAUGACUGGCUAAAGAAACUCAUCCUAACAGAUACAAAAAAAGGUCCAGACUGUAGAGGACUCUGCCUAGAUUCGUGAUAAAGUCAACUUCCACUCAGACCUUCUUGUCUAACAAUCCAAUCGAAACUUGCAUCAAAAGAGACUGCUCCUUCAACAAGUUGCAGCUCUAUCAUGUGACUGACAAUGUUGCUCCUGACACCAUGCAUGACAUCCUUGAGGGCAUGGGUGGUUUUGAACUUAAGCUUGUUGUUAAUUCAUUGAUUGAACCAAAACUUUUCACACUUGAGCAGCUGAACUAUAGACUGACCAGCCUUGACUAUGGGUUUUGUGAUGUUCACAAUAAGCCAUCUACCAUAAAACCCCAGGACUUGAAAAAUUCAGAUGAAGCCCUUUGGCAAAGUGCAUAACAGACCAGGGGCCUUAUUUAUCAACCAUGCAUAGCAAAGGUUCUAAUUUCUGGUGUGGGAAUGAAAUUUAGAAUGUGUGUAGGUACAAAAAAAAUCUGCAUUAUCAAACAUGCGGACACCGGUCGUACGCACACAUGUAAGUAAUCGGUGAUGAUAAAUCCCACCUGUUCUUUACUACCGUGCUCGUUCAUGUUUAGGGUCAUUUGCAUUCAGAAACACCUCCAACUAACCAUAUAUGGUAUCAACAAUCCCUUUAACAAUGUGCAUGGUCAGAGUUGUGCUUAAAUUUAUGCACGUUCCUAAGAAAAAGUACAGGUUGAUAAAUUCCAUACUUUGCAAGGGAAUGUUUGUACGCACUCACUAAGCACACAUCUGUGCGUACGCACGUUUGAUAAAUGAGGCCCCUGGUGUCUACUACGAUUGCUGCCUCUAAUGAUAUGGGGUUUGGUGCCUGAGGGUAACCAACACUGGGAACUGCUCCUUUCAUUACUUAGUUGCAUGGGGUUGAUCUUUUCUCCUGCACUGAAACAAGGGGCAGUAAUCCUUUUGCAUUACAUUGGAGCCUUGGUGUCCAGUUUCGUCACCAGGCCUCCAUUGCGCUGGAACUGAUUUAUCAACAACUGGCUUUUACUCUGUGUGUAUCCGGUUACACCGAUCAACCAAUACCCACACGGAUUAAAUAAACACCCCCCAUCACAUCGGCCAUGGCUGGAACGCUGCAAGAGAGACUUACCUGAGAUUUCCACCAACAGCGGGCCCUAUUCCGGGGCCCUUGCCAGUAAGUCUCCUCCCAUGUUGUCUGAGCUGCUACCUCACCACUGCGGGCUCCAGGACAGAGCCCUGGCAUGUAAGUGUCCUUCUCGGCACAGUCCAAUCCCCAAUCAAGACUGUCCUCUGUCAGAUCCUGCCUGGUGUCAUUGGCUGCCUGCUGGCUGUUGCUCUCUCUGUUUCAGCCAUGGCUCCAUGCUCCUCUCCAUCCAGCUGUGCCAGCUGCGCCUGUCUGGCGAAAAGAUCCAGGAGCUGGAGAGAAGGAUCUCCACCCUCUACCAGAUCCAGGAAGCCGAGAAACUCAUGGACACCAUCAUCUUCAGAACACCACAUCCCAACUCCACCGGCUCCUUGACAUUUUAACAGUCCUCCCCACUCUGUUAAAAUCUCUCCCAACUUCCAUCCAGAGAAUCAUAAUUCAUGUCGGUACAAAUGACACGUCCCUCCACCAGACCGAGCUCACGAAGGACCAUUUUACCCAACUUUUUAACUUCCUGAAGAACUUUGAAUUGUCUGUUUUUAUCAGCGGUCCCAUUCCCACUUCUGGUCGUGGCUGCGGGGGGCUUCAGCAGAGUGCUCAGCUUGCACACCUGGCUCCAAUCUGCCUGCCAAGCCCAUAGCUUUGCCUUCGUGGACAAUUUUAAUCUUUUUUGGAACCGUUUGUCCCUUUUUAAAUCGGAUGGUAUCCAGCCGAACACCACAGGUAGCCGCAUGCUAGCAGCUAACCUGCAGCACACUGUACACUGUUUCCCAUGUGACUGACUAUUUACUCCCCCCCCCCACACACACCCCUCUUCCUCUGUGGUGCACCCACUGUUGACAGGUCCUCCCCAGAGCUCCCCCUGCUGGCAAAUUCUGUCACUGACUCCCUCUGCCACAGGUCUUCCCGUCAUCUUUUCCCCACUCCCAAAUAAUCACAGUAGCAUCCAACUCCUCCCUAUUCCUGUCCAGAUCACCAACAGACACCACUCUGAUAGAAACACCACCCAGACUGUCAAUCACUCUGUUUUAGCAAGCCCAUCCAUGCUGGCUCCCAUCCUCACCAAACAUGACAAUACCUCUGUCAGCUUCGGACUUCUCAACAUCCACUCACUCACCAACAAGGGACACAUCAUCCACAAUCUCCUCACUGACCGCAAGCUGGACUUCCUCUGCACCACUGAAACAUGGCAACAACCAAAUGACUUCUCAUCACUCAACGACUCCACCCCCCCCGGACUUCACCUACCUCUCCCACCACCGCAGUCACGGCUGUGACUCUUGUGCUCUUCUCCUCAUUCGAACUUCUGGCACUUACACUCCUUGGACCCACUCCCACCAUCAUCGCCACCAUCUAUGCCCCCCCCCCCCAAGCCCCACACCAACUUCUUAAAUGACUUCUCUGUUCUACUCACCCAUCUAUGCACACUCUCACCAAACACGAUAAUACUGGGGGACUUCAAUAUCCACAUUGACAACACCAACCUGUCCCUAAACAGAGACUUCUCAUCAUGCCUGGACAGUUUUGGACUCCAUCAAUUCAUCAACUUCCCGACACACACUAAAGGACACACUCUGGAUCUACUCUGCUGCUCUGGCCUCAUCCCAUCCAACUGCACAGCCAAUGAUCUCCAUGUAAGUGACCACCUCCUCAUCUCCUUCAGUAUUCCUCUCUGCCUCUCUAGAAUUAAGUCACCACGCCUCAUUUCAUUCCGCAAUCUUAAGAACAUAAACAUUGACACUCUGCGCUCUAACAUUAACAAUAUUUUGAUCCUGGACUGUUCCGCUACCCCCAAUGAAAUAACAUCCCAUUACAACACCUGUUUAAAUAACAUCCUCAACUCCCUCGCUCCAGUCAAAACACGCUCUGUUUCCUUCUCCACAACUGCUCCCUGGUACAUCCCCAUCUCCGCUCCAUAAAACCAAUGGCCGCCAACUGGAAAGACUUAACAAGAAAACUGGACCCUCCAUUCACAAAGAAAUGUACACUAACCACAUUCGCCGCUACAAGGACUCAAUUUCUCAAGCCAAGACAGACCACUACUCCGCCCAGAUCAUCUCCAACAAAGGAAACACCAGGGGCCUCAUGUAUCAACGCUUGCGGCGCAAGAAAACCUUGCGUACGCCAAAAUCGGCGCACACGUCCAGAUUUAUCAUCGCGAAACGAGCGUCGGUUCCAGCGCUAAUCAACGCAAAGUCAGGAGGUGGUGUAGAAAUUGGCGUUGAGCUGAUAUUUGCGUUGACUGUGAUUCGCACUUUGGCGACGCUGUGUAGUGGUGUUUGGUGACUCACUAUGUGACAAGCGUGCACCACAUCCCCGUGGCCGAGCAGCACGUCGCCCCACAUGACGAACCAGCAGCAGACGGAGGGAUGCGAGCUGAUCCCUGCCGGGCCGCCGUCCUCGCGCGGGAGAAUCUCAUCGCCACAGUGUGAAUGGGUAAGAAGUGACUACACAGUUCAAUGAGCCAAAUUGAUUUAUUUUCUCCACCAGACGCUCGAGGACAUUUACGAGCCGGUCCAGCCGCUCGUUGAUCCCCGCGAUCCCCCUGAUGAUUUCUUCCUGCGAUUGCAGGACCCCCUCCGCGAGGAUCCUUCCACUGCGUCCGGGUGGUCCAGCGGAAGCGCCGCGGCUGGUGGACGCUCCACCGCUUGUCGGCGCGCUGGUGCUGAUGCUGGUGCUGGUGCUGGGGCCGGGGGCCAGAGUGGCCCGAAUGCCGCUGGUCCUGGCCGACGACUCCGAGCCGGCGGACGGGCUGCCGCGGGCCGGGGUUCCGCAAGCCGGCAACACGGCCGACACAUGGAUUUCUGUGACACAAUAAAAAUAUUGGUUCAUUUCAAUUCCUGCUUCUGUGUAUCUGUUGCGUUUACAUCUCUCUCCACGGUAUCAUAGGUAAUGUAAUCCAGUAUUUCGAGGUCAGUUAUGCACAUUACAGUUGUUUAUUGCAUAAAAAGUUAUCGAAAAAUUAAGUUAAGGGCGAAGUAUAAAUCACGUCUAAAAAUAGACUGAAUCCCGACGUUGAAAUGAAGUAUAAACUUAGACUAGACGUCUAAUAUACGUCUUUUGCUCAGUGGGAUGACAAAGCAUGUGGACAUUUGUGUGACACGCCACUUACCCUAUAAUAAUAAUCACCACCACCCGCUGCUCAAACGGUGUGAGGGUCUCCUCCCCCGGACCCCCACCUGUCUGGCCAGUACUCCUCCGGAGGGCAGCUGUACGCCGCUUGACCUCCACCUUGAGGUCCGACCACUUUUUUUUAAUCGUCGCGGGGGUGCGUGUCUCGGAACCCACCGCAUUCACCCUCUCGCAAACUUUCUCCCACUCCAAGCGUUUUUGUUUUGCACUGACGCCACUGGACAGGCUGCCAAACAAAACACGCUGUCGCUCCUCCACCUCCGCCACCAGCACCUCCACCUCGCACGCCGUAAAUGUCGUUUUUCUUGUCAUUUUGUCUGCGUGCGAGGACAGGGAGACCCUAUUUAAAUAAAUCUGCAUAUUUAUAGGAGGGCGUAACGGGGACGAGCCCAGUCACUCCGACAUCUGCGCUCAAUUCCACGCUGAUUGGGAUUUAUCAAGGAAACACACGUGGAUUUCGGCGCCCGCACACAUUGAUACAUACGAAUUUUUUUCAGCGUGACGGACCUUGCGUGCGCUCGUUUCUGGUAUGAGUUCCACGCAAGUGUUGAUACAUGAGGCCCCUGAUCACAAAUCUCUCCAGCCACUGGACUACCUCCCUCCCCACCUGUAUUCAACCGACACCUGCAACACCCUAAUGCAGUUUUUUAAUGACAAAAUCUCCAAUAUCCACCAACAACUGCACUCAGACUCUUUCCCACCCUCCUCCGUAGACUUUCCUCCAUCUGCAUCACCCACACCCCCCUCCACUGGUUCCACUCCUACCUCUCAGACCGCACACAGUUCAUCCAGCUCAAAUCCUUCAAGUCCGACCCCUCCCCAGUCAGUUCAGGUGUGCCCCAGGGCUCUGUCCUGGGGCCCCUGCUGUUCAUCACCUACCUCCUCCCCCUUGGUUCCAUCUUCCAUAAAUUCAACAUUCAAUAUCACUGCUACGCGGACGACACCCAGCUCUACCUCUCCAGCUCACCAAACUCCACCCACCCACCCACCUACCUCAUCACCUGCCUAUCCGAGAUUAAAUCCUGGUUCACCACCAACUUUCUCCAACUAAACAGUCAGAAAACAGAAAGUCUUCUAGUAGGUUCCAAAUUCACCCUAUCCAAAGUUGACAGUCUCUCCCUUCCCAUCGACAGUUCCUCAGUUUCCCCCUCCCCUCAGGUCAAGAGUCUGGGUGUCGUCCUUGACAGUACUCUUUCCUUCAAAUCCCACAUCAGCCCUACCACUCGGACUGCCUACUUCCAUCUCCGCCACAUCAAUCGACUCCGUCCCUCCCUCUCCUCCCUCUCCUCCAACACCACCUCCAUCCUCGUCCACAGUCUUGUCACCUCCCGUCUGGACUACUGCAACUCCCUCCUCUUCGGUCUCCCUCACACAUCUCUCCAUAAACUUCAACUGGUCCACAACUCCGCUGCCUGGAUCAUCACCAAAACCCCUUCGUCCCACCAUAUCACCCCAUCCUGCAGCAGCUCCACUGGCUCCCGGUCCCACUAAGAAUCCAGUUCAAAAUCCUCCUGUAUACCUUUAAAGCCAUCCACAACCUUGCCCCUCCUUACCUGUCUGACCUCCUCCACAUCGCCACUCCAUCACGCCGCCUCCGAUCCUCUUCCUCUCUUCACCUCACUGUGCCUCCUGUUCACCUCAGCACCAUGGGGGGGCAGAGCUUUCAGUCGCUCUGCCCCCCGACUCUGGAACUCUUUACCAUCACACAUCCGCAACAUAGACUCCCUCCCCCUCUUCAAGUCCAAACUCAAGACACACCUGUUUAAACUGGCCUAUCCCUCCCACCACCCCUAACUCACUUUUUUAAUUUAAUUUUAAUUGGUAUUAUUUAUUUCUUUGCUGUUGUUUAUGUCAAAUGUUUUAAUGUUGCUUUGUUGAUUUUAACUGUUUUGAUGAUUGAUGACAUUAAUUGUUAAUAGUGUUUGAUUAUUGUUUUAUAUGUUCUGUAAAGUGUCCUUGAGUGACGUGAAAGGCGCUUAAUAUAAAAUGUAUUAUUAUUAUUAUUUUUAUUAUUAUUAUCUUUUUUUACAUUGAGGAACAUUAUUGCCUAUAUUUUGAGCUUUACUACAGACAGACACUUGAAACCCAAACACCAUUUCA